This 74-nucleotide transfer RNA is filed under the name Methanothrix sp. RNAcentral's name for it is "tRNA-Glu". It matches the Rfam family "tRNA". From Rfam's summary of the family: Transfer RNA (tRNA) molecules are approximately 80 nucleotides in length. Their secondary structure includes four short double-helical elements and three loops (D, anti-codon, and T loops). Lineage: Archaea; Methanobacteriati; Methanobacteriota; Methanomicrobia; Methanotrichales; Methanotrichaceae. The record is from RNAcentral.
GCUCCAGUAGUGUAGCUGGUCAAUCACCUCGGCCUUUCGAGCCGAAGACUCGGGUUCAAAUCCCGACUGGAGCG